This 460-nucleotide ribosomal RNA is filed under the name uncultured bacterium. Its description in RNAcentral is "partial 16S ribosomal RNA". It matches the Rfam family "Bacterial small subunit ribosomal RNA", at positions 338 to 795 of the family's 1533-position model. The record is from RNAcentral.
CCUACGGGAGGCAGCAGUGAGGAAUAUUGGUCAAUGGGCGCGAGCCUGAACCAGCCAAGUCGCGUGAGGGAUGACUGCCCUACGGAUUGUAAACUUCUUUUAUAAAGGAGUAAAGUGAGGCACGUGUGCCUUUUUGUAUGUACUUUGUAAAUAAGGAUCGGCUAACUCCGUUCCAGCAGCCGCGGGAAUACCGAGGAGCGGAGCGGUCUCCCGGUUUAUUGGGUUUAAAGGGAUCGUAGAUGGGUUGUUAAGGUCGUUGUGAAAGUGUGCGGCUCAAACGUAAAACUGCAAUUGAAACUGGCAGUCUUGAGUACAGUUGAGGUAGGCGGAAUGCGUGGUGUAGCGGUGAAAUGCUUAGAUAUCACGAAGAACUCCGAUUGCGAAGGCAGCCUACUAAACUGCCACUGACAUUGAUGCUCGAAAGUGUGGGUAUCAAACAGGAUUAGAUACCCGAGUAGUC